This 465-nucleotide ribosomal RNA is filed under the name uncultured bacterium. Its description in RNAcentral is "bacterial SSU rRNA". It matches the Rfam family "Bacterial small subunit ribosomal RNA", at positions 338 to 795 of the family's 1533-position model. The record is from RNAcentral.
CCUACGGGUUGCACCAGUAGGGAAUAUUGCGCAAUGGGGGAAACCCUGACGCAGCAACGCCGCGUGAGUGAGGAAGGUCUUCGGAUUGUAAAACUCUUUUAUUUGGGAAAAUGAUAUUACGGUUAAUACCCGUAGUAAGUGAUGGUACCAAAGGAAUAAGCACCGGCUAACUUCGUGCCAGCAGCCGCGGUAAUACGAAGGGUGCAAGCGUUGUUCGGAAUCAUUGGGCGUAAAGCGCGCGCAGGCGGAUCAGUAAGUCAGGUGUGAAAUCUCGGAGCUCAACUCCGAAACUGCGCCUGAAACUACUAGUCUAGAAUGUCGGAGGGGGCAGGGGAAUUUCACGUGUAGGGGUAAAAUCCGUAGAGAUGUGAAGGAACACCGGAGGCGAAGGCGCCUGCCUGGACGACUAUUGACGCUGAGGCGCGAAAGCGUGGGGAGCAAACAGGAUUAGAUACCCUUGUAGUC